ACGGAGGUGGCAAGCGUUGUUCGGAUUUACUGGGCGUAAAGGGCGCGUAGGCGGCCACCGCAAGUCGGUUGUGAAAUCUCCGGGCUUAACCCGGAAAGGUCAAUCGAUACUGCGGGGCUAGAGUGCAGAAGGGGCAACUGGAAUUCUCGGUGUAGCGGUGAAAUGCGUAGAUAUCGAGAGGAACACCUGCGGCGAAGGCGGGUUGCUGGGCUGACACUGACGCUAAAGCGCGAAAGCUAGGGGAGCAAACGGGA
RNAcentral lists this ribosomal RNA (254 nucleotides) under uncultured prokaryote. Its description in RNAcentral is "partial 16S ribosomal RNA". It matches the Rfam family "Bacterial small subunit ribosomal RNA", at positions 525 to 777 of the family's 1533-position model. The record is from RNAcentral.